RNAcentral lists this ribosomal RNA (253 nucleotides) under uncultured bacterium. RNAcentral describes it as "partial 16S ribosomal RNA". It matches the Rfam family "Bacterial small subunit ribosomal RNA", at positions 524 to 776 of the family's 1533-position model. The record is from RNAcentral.
GACAGAGGGUGCAAACGUUGUUCGGAAUUACUGGGCGUAAAGCGCGUGUAGGCGGCCCUGCAAGUCGGAUGUGAAAUCCCACGGCUCAACCGUGGAAGUGCAUUCGAGACUGCAGGGCUAGAGUCCUGGAGAGGAAGGUGGAAUGCUUGGUGUAGAGGUGAAAUUCGUAGAUAUCAAGCGGAACACCGGUGGCGAAGGCGGCCUUCUGGACAGUGACUGACGCUGAGACGCGAAAGCGUGGGGAGCAAACAGG